AUUGGAACUUAUUGAAUGAAAAAUAUUUUGUUUGCAUAUUUGCACAUUGGUGUAAGGAGAGAAGGGAUCUGUGAGUGCAGGGAGAGACGGGGUCGAUGCAGGAAGGGCUCUGUGAGAGAGAAGAGAUCUGUGCAAGGUGCAGGAGGUCUGUGAAAAUGCAAGGAGAGAAGGGUCUGUGCAGGGAGGCAGGGCCGCCAUCAAAGGGUGACAACCAGGGUCCGGGCCCCAUGUGUAGCAGCGGAACUGCAGCUGGUGCAGUUCCAC
Molecule: non-coding RNA, 264 nt
Organism: Pelobates cultripes (western spadefoot toad)
Lineage: Eukaryota; Metazoa; Chordata; Amphibia; Anura; Pelobatidae
Source: the annotation of a GenBank genome assembly